Molecule: unclassified non-coding RNA, 2504 nt
Filed under: Hevea brasiliensis (rubber tree)
Lineage: Eukaryota; Viridiplantae; Streptophyta; Magnoliopsida; Malpighiales; Euphorbiaceae
Source: RNAcentral
GCAGAAUGAAACCUUCAAGAAGGUAGUGUCUUUCACAUUUCAUUUUCAUGAACCUAUCACAGAGAUAAAAUUUGUUCUCAAUUGGUAAUGAGAUUUUCGUUGAAAUGUGUAUUUGGCUUGCUAAAAAUAGAAGAAACCUUCCUAAUACCCUUUUCCAACUCUCAUAUUGCCAUUUUUCAAUUGUCAUUAGCUCCUUCUUUUCCUCUCUCUUUUGGAGUUUGAAAGCAUGUUAAGUCUGCUACUUUGAUGCUUUAUCACUCAAAACAAUAUCUCUUGAAGCUGUAUAGCAUAUUCAGGGGGGUUUCCUGAGGGGGUUGUCCGUGUUCUCUUCCUUUUGUUUCAUAAAUCUUUUAGUUGCCAAGUGGUUGGAUAGGGCUUUAUUUAAGAGGCUGUAUCAUUUCAAUUCCAUCUUGUCUGUGCUUCCUUUGUUUUUUCUUCUGUUGUUUAGUUUCUCUACUAACUAGUGUACCAGCUAAGAGAAUUGAAAGCAUUAUGAGAUGUUUCUCAUUUUGAUAAUAGAGUGACAGAAGAGGGAUCGUAUUUUGAGUUUCAAUAAAUGCUGACUUUGCAUAUGUGAGAGGUUUAGGUCUUUGUGAUUUGGAGUCCCCAAAAAUUGCUUUGGUGGGGAAAUUUAAUUUUAGGACAUUUUCUUUGGAUUCAUAUUCCCUUCUUCAUAAGUGCAUGAGAAGUAGGUAUAGUCUCUAGUGGAAUGGUGGGAUGCGAAAAUUGAAACUAGAAUCACACAUUUUAGCCUUCGGAAAUUCAUUUCUCAAGCACAUCCAUCUUUGAACACAUUGGUUCAAUUUAAAGUUGAUAAUGUUGUUUCUUUGUUCACCUUUUAGAGGAUUUGUGGGUGGGUCAUUUUUCUUUUCCUAAGGCUUUUCCUUGUCUUCUAAUCUUCACCAAGCAGUAUAGAACCCUUUUUAUAUUGGCUUGUGUAUCAAAUCAUUUUUCUACGUUUUCUUUCUCUUUUUUAAUUAUUUAUUUUCAUUUUUCAGGAAUCUUAAUGAUUGGUAACGUCAAAUUUCUCAUGUUAUUGAGCUUUUUUAUAUUCUUUUAAUCUUUCUUUCAGAUUAGAUGAAAGGGUAUGGACUUUGGAAGAGUUCAAGAACAUUUUCAUCUGAUUGAUCAUUUCAACCUUUCUUGUUCAUAUUCCUAAUUCUUAAUGUUAUCCUCUUGCUAAUAUCAUAUGCUAGGCUAUGGCUUUUGUUUGGUAUGUGAUGAUUAAUGGAUUCAACACUCAUAUACUAAUAUCCUUUGGAGGUUCUACAAGAUUUAAAUGCCAAUUAUUGUUUUAUGUUCAUAGAGUAAUUAUUUGUUACAUAUGCUAAAUUGUUCUUGACCACUUAGCCUUAUGCCCUUGGUCUACCUUGUCUUGAUUGCUUUAAUCUCCUGUAACAUGUGUGUUUUCAAUAUUCCUCAUAGGUCAUUUGUUUAUCUACCAUGGAAAUUACCAAACCAUCUCAUUUCCCCUCCCAACUUUUCCUCAAUGAGUGCCACCUUAUUUGUUAUCUUGUUCUUUCUUGUAUUUGAUUCAUCCAUCGUGGCAUUUGUCUUUAUCGUGCUCAAUUGCAGACAUGCCUUUGUCAUUAAUCUUUGGCAUUUGUCUUUGUCAUCACCCAACAUUUGCUGACAUACAUUAUUGAUGGUAUUGUGGUUUUGUAGAAGUUUCCUGUUAUUUUAGUAGGGUUUUUUGUUGACAUAAGAUGAUAAUCACACUUUUUUUUUUAUCCUGCCUUCAUUCUACGAGUGCCGUCAUCUUUACUCAUCAUCCUUUCAUCUCAUGGACCUAGGUGUUGAGGUGAUUACUUUGUGCAAUUUAUUCUCCAUCUAGUUUAAUUCUGCUUUUCUCACUUUCACUUCCAAUUUUUAUGAUUAUAAAUGUAAUUCAUAUAUUAUGUACUAGUUCUAUUUAGUUGAAAUCCAGACUCUAGGAUAUUCCUUCAUAACUCCAGCUGCCGAUUAACCUUAAAAGGUUGAUCAGGUUUCAUCUAUCAAAACUGUUAUAAGCAAAAAGUUUGCACUGAGAAAUCAUAUUGUGUGUGUGUGCGUGUGUAUAAUCCAUGACCAGUGCAAACAGAAAAUAGCUCUAGAAAGUGUGAUAGGAAAUUUCCUGCCCCCAAAACUCCUUAUACUGAUUAUGACCUCUUCAUAAGUAUCCUUCCUGAUAUUUAUUUAUCUAAUAUAAUUUCAAUUUAAAAAUCAUGUAGCCUUUUGCUGAAAAUGGUGUGUGAUUACUUGAAAAUGAUGGGGAGUAUGCGCUGAUUAAUAUACGUUUUCAAUCGAAGUAUAAUGAUUUCUUAUUUCCUCAGAUUUUUUUAAAUAUAUCUUUAGCCUUCUUGUUGACUGAAUAUGAUUCUUACAGGGUCAAACUCUGAAAUUUAAUUGUUCAUUUGCACUCUAAAUUCAUCUUCAGUCUAGAUUCGUCUUCAAGUUUUUAUGGACAUUUCCUUUUCCCUCUCUUGCUUUCACACAAUUGCAGGUUGUCAACAAGUUUUAUAAGA